This 76-nucleotide transfer RNA is filed under the name Candidatus Nealsonbacteria bacterium CG10_big_fil_rev_8_21_14_0_10_36_23. Its description in RNAcentral is "tRNA-Arg". It matches the Rfam family "tRNA". From Rfam's summary of the family: Transfer RNA (tRNA) molecules are approximately 80 nucleotides in length. Their secondary structure includes four short double-helical elements and three loops (D, anti-codon, and T loops). Further hydrogen bonds mediate the characteristic L-shaped molecular structure. tRNAs have two regions of fundamental functional importance: the anti-codon, which is responsible for specific mRNA codon recognition, and the 3' end, to which the tRNAs corresponding amino acid is attached (by aminoacyl-tRNA synthetases). tRNAs cope with the degeneracy of the genetic code in two manners: having more than one tRNA (with a specific anti-codon) for a particular amino acid; and 'wobble' base-pairing, i.e. permitting non-standard base-pairing at the 3rd anti-codon position. The record is from RNAcentral. RNAcentral also lists the same sequence under 1 other name. Lineage: Bacteria; Candidatus Nealsoniibacteriota.
GUCCCCAUAGUUUAAUGGAUAAAACAUUGGCCUCCGGAGCCAAAAAGUGUAGGUUCAAUUCCUACUGGGGACACCA